AGAGUAGACCAGAUGGUCGCGGGUACCGGAUAAGAAUGGUAUCCGAGGAAAGUCCGAGCUCCAAAGGGCAGGGUGCUGGGUAAUACCCAGUGGGGGUGACCCUAAGGCAAGUGCCACAGAAACAUACCGCCCCUUAUGCAGAUUAAAGAGGGGUAAGGGUGGAAAGGUGAGGUAAGAGCUCACCAGCGGUCAGGCGACUGAUCGGCUCGGUAAACCCCACCCGGAGCAAGACCAAAUAAGGGACGUUAUCGGCGGCCCGUCGUGUCCCGUGGUAGGUCGCUAGAGGUGGCAGGUAACUGUCAUCCUAGAUAGAUGACCAUCCAAGACAGAACUCGGCUUACAGGUCUACUCGCUUU
This 356-nucleotide RNase P RNA is filed under the name Bacillota bacterium. RNAcentral's name for it is "RNase P RNA component class A". It matches the Rfam family "Bacterial RNase P class A". Rfam says of the family: Ribonuclease P (RNase P) is a ubiquitous endoribonuclease, found in archaea, bacteria and eukarya as well as chloroplasts and mitochondria. Its best characterised activity is the generation of mature 5'-ends of tRNAs by cleaving the 5'-leader elements of precursor-tRNAs. The record is from RNAcentral. Lineage: Bacteria; Bacillati; Bacillota.